RNAcentral lists this small RNA (108 nucleotides) under Marmota monax (woodchuck). Lineage: Eukaryota; Metazoa; Chordata; Mammalia; Rodentia; Sciuridae. The record is from RNAcentral.
GCCGGGUGUGGUGGUGCAUACCUGUAAUCCCAAUGACUCUGAAGGCUGAGGCAGGAGCAUUGCUAGUUUGAGGCUAGCCUGAGUGAUUUAAGCAAGACCCUGUCUCAG